GCGAAAAUAGCUUAAUAGGCAAAGCGUGACUUUGCCAAAGUCACUAUGAGGGUUCAAAUCCCUCUUUUCGCU
RNAcentral lists this transfer RNA (72 nucleotides) under Wildemania schizophylla. RNAcentral describes it as "tRNA-Gly". It matches the Rfam family "tRNA". Rfam says of the family: Transfer RNA (tRNA) molecules are approximately 80 nucleotides in length. Their secondary structure includes four short double-helical elements and three loops (D, anti-codon, and T loops). Lineage: Eukaryota; Rhodophyta; Bangiophyceae; Bangiales; Bangiaceae. The record is from RNAcentral.